Molecule: ribosomal RNA, 292 nt
Filed under: uncultured bacterium
Lineage: Bacteria
Description: partial 16S ribosomal RNA
Rfam family: Bacterial small subunit ribosomal RNA
Source: RNAcentral
GUGUCAGCAGCCGCGGUAAUACGUAGGUGGCAAGCGUUGUCCGGAUUUACUGGGCGUAAAGAGCGCGCAGGCGGCUGGGUCAGUCCGAUGUGAAAGCUUCCGGCUUAACUGGAAAAUUGCAUCGGAAACUGCUCAGCUUGAAGGUGGGAGAGGGUAGCGGAAUUCCCGGUGUAGUGGUGAAAUGCGUAGAUAUCGGGAGGAACACCAGUGGCGAAGGCGGCUACCUGGCCCAUUCUUGACGCUGAGGCGCGAAAGCUAGGGGAGCAAACGGGAUUAGAUACCCUAGUAGUCC